This 253-nucleotide ribosomal RNA is filed under the name uncultured bacterium. RNAcentral's name for it is "partial 16S ribosomal RNA". It matches the Rfam family "Archaeal small subunit ribosomal RNA", at positions 474 to 727 of the family's 1478-position model. The record is from RNAcentral.
UACCAGCACCCCGAGUGGUCGGGACGAUUAUUGGGCCUAAAGCAUCCGUAGCCGGCUCUACAAGUCUUCCGUUAAAUCCACCUGCUUAACAGAUGGGCUGCGGAGGAUACUAUGGAGCUAGGAGGCGGGAGAGGCAAGCGGUACUUAGUGGGUAGGGGUAAAAUCCGUUGAUCCAUUGAAGACCACCAGUGGCGAAGGCGGCUUGCCAGAACGCACUCGACGGUGAGGGAUGAAAGCUGGGGGAGCAAACCGG